Malaclemys terrapin pileata is the source of this 2707-nucleotide long non-coding RNA. RefSeq lists it as uncharacterized. The record is from RefSeq and is a predicted model, not a curated record. The transcript is spliced from 2 exons. Lineage: Eukaryota; Metazoa; Chordata; Testudines; Emydidae.
CGCGCCCCGGCUGCUCCACGGCCCGGCCCCGGGCGGGGGGCGCGCGGGGGCCGGGAGAGGCUGAUCCUUACCCCGCUCCUAGGCCCUGCCCACCCCCGCACGGGUAGCACCUGGAGAGGCGCCCGCCGCAAGGCACCCCCCGAUCGCUCCCCGCUGCUGCCCGAAGGGUCCCCAAGAGCCGCAGGGGGCCCCACUGCGGGACCGGGUGACUCCCACCUGCCCGCCCGCCCCAGUCCGUAGCCCCUACCUGGUGCGCCUCCAGCUCCUCCACCAGCACCUGGGGAGAGACACAAAGGACAUAUCCCGGCCCGAGGCAGCCGCCGAGCAGGGUGUAGCGCUACCGCCCGCCGCUAGGGGGCGGCCGUCCAGACAGGGGAAAGCCUACGCGGAAGGAAGGACGGACGGACUCGGGGGACGUGCUAGGACAGCGGGACGACGCUCUGAUACGAGUCUUCCGGAAACUCGGUGAUGCCGCGGUCCUGUGCGGCUUCCGGGUCUGCGUCCUGCGCGCUGUGACUUGGUCCCUCCCCCCGCGGGGGCGAUGCUGAGGCCCGCCAUUGUAACCCCUGGCACACAGCGCCCCCUGCCCGCCGGCUGCCCUGUGGCCGGCUGAUGUACUGCCCGGACGGCCGUCCUGGCGCUGGGCCUCCUCGGCCGCGCCCAGCCAGGAGAUCGGGCUGAGCCGCCCCAGCGCAGCCUGACCGAGCUGCCUGUGAAACCCGGUUCGGAAUCCUGGGGCCGGCUGCACCCAGGGGAGGCCUUUAAGGUCAGAGGCGGUGCCUGCCCAGCGGGGGCUCUAAGCAGGACCACUCCCCCCAUCCUAAACAUAGGCUUUAAGGCGAGAGGGAACCGUCCUGUUCAUCUAUCUGCAGCACGCCCAUAACCUCUGGCUGAUGAGCCACCAUUUAUUCUAGUGCAAUCCAGCCAGUGACCUAAGUGUAUUCUUUCCCGGGCCAGACAAUCCAUCAACUCAGCACUUAUGUACACAAGUUAAAAAGCCCACAUUAACUAAGAUGAAUGGUAUUUUGAGGAGUAGUACUAAAUGGGGGAGUGGGGGCUGAGCUGCCUGGGUCCUAAGCAAUUGUUUAGUCUGCUUAUGCCUAAUGUCAUGACUGCUUAAAUUAAAGGAGCCUUAUCUCUAAGCAUUUUACAAAGUAUGUAUAAUAUUUUAAGCACCUCUGGUAUAAGAGGCAGGUAUUUCAAGCACUGGGGUACAGAUGAAGUGUGAUUACAGAAGUACAUUACAAUCCUGCUGCCAACACAAGGAAGUAGUUAAGAAAGAGUGAGGCCAAGAACAGACCUUACUCAGCCCUUAACAUAUAAGACUGAAAUUCAUGAGAUUCAAUUAUUGUUCUACUUUACUAUUAUGUGAGUUAGAGGUGGAAAAAAGUAUUAGGUCAUCUCAUCUAGGCAACCCGAAAAGAGGUAAAGUUUAGCUGCAAUGGUAACAGCAGUCCAAAGUAAUAGGGAUUACUUUUACGGAUGCGAUGCCUGUUUUUGUAUGCAGUGUUGUAGAUGUGUCGGUUCCAAGAUAUUAGAGAGACAAGGUGGGUGAGAUAAUAUCAUUUAUUGGACCAACUUCUGUUGGCAAGAGAUACAAGUUUUUGAGCUUACACACUUAUCUCUCUCACCAACAGAAGUUGGUCCAAUAAAAGAUAUUAUCUCACCCACCUUGUCAUGCUUAUUUUUGUUGUUUGACUGGUUACCAAAUAGUUGCUACUGAUAAGCAGGGCUUUGAAGACAAUGUCUGAUCAUUUGAUAGCAUGAAUACAGCAGCCAUUUGGAAAUAAGUAUUAAUUUUAAAAAAUAAUGUGCAUUGUUCAUGAUUCAAAGUUUUCUUAAACUAAGAUACACAACAAUAUGCAUAUUAGUGUUUUUAAUGACAUAUAAAGAACUUAAAUAGACCUAUAAAUAAUACCAGUAUAUGUUUGUAGUGAUUUACUCUCUGCUAUAACUAUUAAAUAAAGGUAUUCAAAUAGCUCAGUGGUUUGAGCAUUAGCUUACUAAACCCAGGGUUGUGAGCUCAAUCCUUGAAGGGGCCAUUUAGGGAUCUGGGGCAAAAAUCUGUCUGGGGAGUGGUCCUGCUUUGAGCAGGGGGUUGGACUAGAGGACCUCCUGAGGUCCCUUCUAACCCAGUAUUCUAUGAUUCUCCAUAAAAUGUUCAAAUUUGAGAGCCUAUAGAUAGGUACCAAAAUAAAUGAUCUGAUCAUCAGAAGUGCUGUGCACUCAUUCCUCCUGUUGGAGUAAGUAGGGCCUGGACACUGCAAGUGUUCAGCUGUUUUGAAGUUCAGACCAGUUUCAGUCCUGCAGUUGGAUCAAUGUGGGCCAACCCCUUAAGUCAAUGAGAUUCCAUGUAGGCACCAGGGUCCGCCUACCCUCAUCCAGUUCCAGGAUCAGGGCCACAGGUAGGCUACCUUUAGUCACUCAAGUAAAAAUAAUUUGUCCUCCGUGUUGAAGAAAACAGACAUUAUUGUUAAACUGCAUUUUUUUUAAAGGUUUGCAACCGUCAGAGGAAGAAAGGUGCAGUAGCAACCAACUUAAAGAUCCUCAAGGACAGCAGAUAAUUUUUCAUAGGAAACAUGGCUUGGCAAAGCUACAGAAAAUGACUCUGCCGUACCAAAAGAUGUCAAAACCUGAUAGCUUUAUAUUUUUAUGGGGUUGUCAAAAUGUAUCAUUCAGUGAGAUUAAAUGACAGCUAUUCACUACA